Non-coding RNA from Callipepla squamata (scaled quail), 47 nucleotides. The record is from Rfam. NCBI's taxonomy places the organism in Eukaryota, Metazoa, Chordata, Aves, Galliformes, Odontophoridae.
CAAAAGGUGUUUUUUAACACCAUGUGUCAAUUUCAAAACAUGUCUGU